Molecule: ribosomal RNA, 740 nt
Filed under: uncultured archaeon
Lineage: Archaea
Description: bacterial SSU rRNA
Rfam family: Archaeal small subunit ribosomal RNA
Source: RNAcentral
UUCCGGUUGAUCCUGCCGGACCCGACUGCUAUCAGAGUGAGAUUAAGCCAUGCGAGUUAACGUAGCAAUACGUGGCGCACGGCUCAGUAACACGUAGUCAACAUGCCCAGAGGACGUGGAUAACCUCGGGAAACUGAGUCUAAACCGCGAUAAGUGAGGAUUUCUGGAAUGGUUCCUGACUAAAAUCUAUAUGGCCUCUGGAUUGGACUGCGGCCGAUCAGGCUGUUGGUGAGGUAAUGGCCCACCAAACCUGUAACCGGUACGGGCUCUGAGAGGAGGAGCCCGGAGAUGGGCACUGAGACAAGGGCCCAGGCCCUAUGGGGCGCAGCAGGCGCGAAACCUCUGCAAUAGGCGAAAGCCUGACAGGGUUACUCUGAGUGACUUUCGCUAAGAAAGUCUUUUGGCACCUCUAAAAAGGGUGCAGAAUAAGGGGUGGGCAAGUCUGGUGUCAGCCGCCGCGGUAAUACCAGCACCCCGAGUGGUCGGGACGAUUAUUGGGCCUAAAGCAUCCGUAGCCGGUUCUGCAAGUCCCCCGUUAAAUCCAGCUGCUCAACAGAUGGGCCGCGGAGGAUACUACAGAGCUAGGAGGCAGGAGAGGCAAGCGGUACUCAGUGGGUAGGGGUAAAAUCCGUUGAUCCAUUGAAGACCACCAGUGGCGAAGGCGGCUUGCCAGAAUGCGCUCGACGGUGAGGGAUGAAAGCUGGGGGAGCAAGCCGGAUUAGAUACCCGGGUAGUCCCAG